RNAcentral lists this ribosomal RNA (253 nucleotides) under uncultured bacterium. Its description in RNAcentral is "partial 16S ribosomal RNA". It matches the Rfam family "Bacterial small subunit ribosomal RNA", at positions 524 to 776 of the family's 1533-position model. The record is from RNAcentral.
CACGUAGGGGGCAAGCGUUGUCCGGAUUUAUUGGGCGUAAAGAGCUCGUAGGCGGCUUGUCGCGUCGGAUGUGAAAUCUCGGGGCUCAACUCCGAGCUUGCAUUCGAUACGGGCAGGCUAGAGUUCGGUAGGGGAGACUGGAAUUCCUGGUGUAGCGGUGAAAUGCGCAGAUAUCAGGAGGAACACCGAUGGCGAAGGCAGGUCUCUGGGCCGAUACUGACGCUGAGGAGCGAAAGCGUGGGGAGCGAACAGG